Non-coding RNA from Peromyscus maniculatus bairdii (prairie deer mouse), 2660 nucleotides. NCBI's taxonomy places the organism in Eukaryota, Metazoa, Chordata, Mammalia, Rodentia, Cricetidae. The record is from RefSeq and is a predicted model, not a curated record.
CAGGUGUUUGUGAGCCACCAUGUGGUUGCUGGUAAUUGAGCUCAGGACCUCUGGAAGAGCAGUCAGUGCUCUUAACCUCUGAGCCAUCUCUCCAGUCCUGAGUCAGGAUGACCUUGAACUCACUAUUUUCCUACAGUUCAAGCUAGCAACUCUUUGAUAUGUAUAUCUGAGCUUUACAACAUCCACAUAGUAAACACAUCUCUACAGCAAGAUGAAUUAAUAGAUGUAUUAUCUUAUAUACCUGUUUUUUUGUGACAAAAGCAGCUAAAAUCCACUUAUUUAGUAAAAACCCUAAAUACAAUAUGGUCUUAUUAACUAUAGUACUCAUGCUGCCAUACAUUAAGUCUUUAUAUUUGCUUCUCCUACACAUCUGCUACUUCAGGAUUCCUUUAGAACAGUGUCUCCACUUCAGCACAGUGAAGGUUCCCUUGCAGAGCAAGUGCGAGUCCAUCCUGCUACCUCCUACAUUUCUAGCUUCACUCAAGUCUUGACAGUAUGCAGAGAAACAUAUAAAGAAUAUGCUAAUUGGUACAAAGUUCUAGGCAAGGACAGCCAAGUAGAUGAGCCCAGUUUGUUCUCUUCUGUACAGUUUUGCAUUCCUAUCUAUGCCUAUUUCUAUGGAUGUAUUCCAUUUUCAUGCUGUAUGUUUUGGGUUUUUACUCUGUAUCCUGUAUCUGUAUCCAACUUGAGAAGGAGACUGCAAGUGUAGCAUGGAGAACACACUGUAAUUAUGAAUACAAUGGACAAUUCAGGAACUAUUUUCUAAAAGGUGAAUAGAUCUCAGAAGCAAUCAUUGAAACCCUCCCUAAACCAUCAGGAAUUCAUUAGAGUACAGUGAGGCUUUCUAUGGGCAAAGCCAAUGUCUACCUAGGAGAGAGGAUCUGGGGAUGUCUGUCUGUCUCAACUCAGCCCUUUCAUCAGACCAAACAUACCAAGAAAACUUAGCCUUGUAACUUGUAAAAAGUCACCUAUGGGUAAAAUACUGUUUUCAUAUGAAUACCAUGAGUACUGGGCUUGGUAGUAUACUCAUGUAAUCCUGGCAUUAAAAAGACCAAAGCAAUAGGAUUACAGCUCAGUCUGGGUUGUAUAAGAACCUGUCUAAAAAUGGCUAAUACAUAUUACUUUUACUCAUACUCGCUCUUCUUUCUUUGGAAUAUCCCUGGGUCUCUGAACUCCAUUUGGCUCAACAUCCUGUCUUCUUAUACUCAACUGAGGAACACCUUUGGACAUUUGUAUCUGGAUUUCCUUCAGGCUUGGUGUUUGGUAUUUCUUAUGUAGACCUCCAAACCAUAAUUACAGGUGUUUUUAACCAGAAAUGCCACCCAUUAGCUCUGUCAAGAGGAACAGCUAGUCAACAUGCCACCACAUUCCAAAAACUUGCCUAGGAACUGGCCACAAGCUGAAGUCCCAAGAUCAUCUGGACAUGAAGAAUCACUUCAUAUUUCCAUAAAUGCUAGUUUGGCUGUGUUUGUAAUCCAUGGUACUUGGGAGACUGAGGUGGGAGAAUUACUUGAGUCAAAGAACUGAGUUGACCAUCCUGAACAACAUAGUAUGACCCCAUCUCAAAUCAAAACCAACCAAACACCAGAAAAGAAAUUCAUUGACUUUCUAGUGAACUUGCUGAGGAAAAGGAUUGUAUUGCUAAAUGUUAAGGGAUAAUGUUAUUAAUACUUUAUAUUGAUGGUAUUUUAUUAUUUAAGCCACAAAAAUACUCAUUCUGAAUAACACACAUUCUUGAGUGAACUUUUGGAAUGGGUGAGAUACUUAUAUGUACACAUGUGAUGAGAUAGUAUUUGUGGAGUUUUAGACCAAUAUUGUUGUUCAUAGUAUACUGAUGGUUCACUGUAUAUCUUUUUCAUUGAUUUGUAUAAGAUUGGUGGAUUGGAAUUUACAAGUAAGAUGGUGAAUUAAAAGCUCCAUCUGAGUCAGUGGAUAAAAAUGUUAUGAUAAAAACAUAAUAGAUCCUAUUUAUAUACAAGAAAAACUGAAAAAAUAAAAAGCCAAAGUCUGAAUUUCUCUACAAUGAAGGAGCCAGGUCCACCAGAAAUCAGUUGUGGUACUACUGCCAGCCUGGGCUGUGUAAACACAACCGGAUGGAUAAAAAUUCCAUAUAUAGAACAAGUUGUGAGUAGUAGAAAUGUGGUUUGAAAACCUAAAGAUCACUUCACAUUAAUAAAGGGAUAAUUCAUCAAGAUUAGAAUAUUAUUAACAUUUAUACACCAAAUAUCAGGUACUAUCAGCAAGAAAUUUCAAAACUCUAAUCUGUAGACACAUACUUCAAACUAAAAAUCAACAAAGAAACAGUUUAAGUAAAUAACACCAGAGAGAAAUUGCAUUUAACAGAUACAAAGUAUUCUAUCCAACUAAUAGGGAAUGCACAUUAUUCUCAGCAGCAAAUAGGGCUCUCUUUAAAACUAUGCACAUUAUAGGAUACAAAGCAAAAAAUGAAUUACUUAUAUUUUAUCAGAUAACAGUAGAAUAAAAGCAGCUACACAAGUACUUAGUACUGAGCAAUACAUUUUUGAAUGAACAGUGGAUCAUUGAGGAAAUCGAGGAAAGUUUUUGAAAUCCUAAAAACAAAUGAAAAUUAUGAUAUAACCUACCAAAACUUAUGGGAUACAAAAAGACAUUCAUAAGAGGAAAGAUUAUAGCUCUAAGUG